UGCAUUCAAUGUCUGAUAAGC
Molecule: non-coding RNA, 21 nt
Filed under: Caenorhabditis elegans
Lineage: Eukaryota; Metazoa; Nematoda; Chromadorea; Rhabditida; Rhabditidae
Source: RNAcentral